UUUACUUUUUUAAGUUUCUUCAGAAUGCCACUGAAAUCAGAGUUGCAAGCCUCUGGCAGAUUUGUUUGCUUCCCUCCCAGGGAAAAUCUGCCGAAGCAACCAAGAAAAUUCGCAAAGGGUUGAGAGUGUAACUCAGUAAUGAUCCCUCCGCUGGUUCACCAACGGAGA
This 168-nucleotide unclassified non-coding RNA is filed under the name uncultured fungus. RNAcentral's name for it is "sequence contains ITS1". Lineage: Eukaryota; Fungi. The record is from RNAcentral.